GAUGAAGAACUUAGCGAAAUGCGAUAAGUAAUGCGAAUUGCAGAAUUCAGUGAGUCAUCGAAUCUUUGAACGCACAUUGCGCCCUGUGGUAUUCCGCAGGGCAUGCCUGUUCGAGCGUCAUUUCAACCCUCAAGCCCCGCUUGGUGUUGGGCCCCGCCCGCUGUGGCCGGCCCUAAAGACAGUGGCGGCGCCGCCUGGCCCUCAGCGUAGUACAUCUCUCGCUCCAGGGUCCGGUGGCCGCCUGCCAGAACCCCCCAACUCUGUGGUUGACCUCGGAUCAGGUAGGGAUACCCGCUGAACUUAAGCAUAUCAAUAAGCGGAGGA
Molecule: unclassified non-coding RNA, 324 nt
Filed under: soil metagenome
Description: partial contains 5.8S ribosomal RNA, internal transcribed spacer 2, and large subunit ribosomal RNA
Rfam family: 5.8S ribosomal RNA (bases 1-120)
Source: RNAcentral